Long non-coding RNA from Rhincodon typus (whale shark), 318 nucleotides. RefSeq lists it as uncharacterized. Lineage: Eukaryota; Metazoa; Chordata; Chondrichthyes; Orectolobiformes; Rhincodontidae. The transcript is spliced from 3 exons. The record is from RefSeq and is a predicted model, not a curated record.
CAGUUGGAGAGCCCAUUAAUCCUGAGGCAUGGGACUGGUAUUAUAGAGUUGUUGGGGAUGGCAAAUGCCCAGUGGUGGAUACUUGGUGGCAAACAGAGACUGGUGGUAUCUGUAUCGCCCCUCACCCCGCAGACAGAGAGGCGAAGAUUCUCCCAGCUAUGGCAAUGAGACCCUUCUUCGGAAUUGACCCAGUACUAAUGGACGAGAAUGGUCGGAGAUUAACAGGGAACAAAAUCUCUGGAUCGCUCUGCAUUGCACAGCCAUGGCCGGGGAUGGCUCGGACGAUCUACAAUGACCAUGACCGAUUUGUGAGCACCU